This 115-nucleotide non-coding RNA is filed under the name Mycolicibacterium hassiacum. RNAcentral describes it as "Mycobacterium hassiacum SAM-IV sequence". It matches the Rfam family "SAM (S-adenosyl methionine) riboswitch aptamer". From Rfam's summary of the family: SAM-IV is a mRNA element that regulates gene expression via direct sensing of S-adenosylmethionine (SAM or AdoMet). The record is from RNAcentral. Lineage: Bacteria; Bacillati; Actinomycetota; Actinomycetes; Mycobacteriales; Mycobacteriaceae. RNAcentral also lists the same sequence under 1 other name.
CUUCACGAGAUGCCGUCGCCAAGCUCCGACUUGACGGCACGCCAACCCCAUGCUCGUGGGUGGCUCGGAUGAUGAAGCGGCCGAGCACCAACCGGUGCUGAGGCAAGAGCACGGC